CUUACACAUUUUCUUUGGACGAUAAUGAUAUUACAUACGUAACCUUUCUAAAGUAUAUCUAAUACACACCUCUUUUGGCCAAGUAAGUCUCAUGCAAAAGGAGCGUGUGAAGAGGUGAAAAAGGAGAAUCUAUAUGAUUAUUUAAACACUGUAUAUUUAAAUUAAUUGAUCCAAUGGUCUAAAUAAUUUUUUCUUUUUAUUCUUUUCUACCUUUUAUUAUUUCACACAAAAUACAAAAAAAAAAAGAUAAAAAAACAUAUGCACUAAUACUUUCGUUACCAACCCCUCUUCUGGCGAGCUGACCAACUGGACGACUUACAAUUAAGGCAAAUCACCACAACAUCACAAACUGCAUUCAAUCCAAGUUUAUGAACAACAUAAAAUAAUCCAUCAAAAUAUAUAACAUCCUCAGCAAAAACCCGCUCUUCACCAAUAAAUUUUCACGAAUUUUCUCCAUUUUUGCAGUAGGCAAGCUCGUCUGUUUCAUUAAGGAUCACUUCCGCAAUAAAAUUCAGGGCAAGAUUUUGAUUUCUAUUUGCCGUGUCUUUUAAAUCUCUAAGUGUGUUUUUCUCUAAUUCCAUGGGUUUUACAGUAAAACCCUCUUCUUUUACGCCUUUUGCUUGUCGGAAAUGGAGUUUUGCUUACUCAGGUCGGUGAAACGUUUGGAUAGAGGAAAAAUAAUUGCACAUUUUUACCAAAUCAGAAGUAAGAUUAACAUAAUCAAUAACCAACGAAUUCCAACUAGUAGCAUCUUUUAGACCAAGCACCAGUGAAAUUAGGAGACCAAUCCCUAAUAGUAGCAUCAUAUUUAGGGAUUGUAGUUGAAGAAGAAACAACGGCAGAUGUGAUGAGGGGUUUUGUGGGGGAGGGGGGAAGAUAAGAGAUGGAUGGGUUAGGUGGGGUAGUAAAUAAGGGUUAAAUUA
RNAcentral lists this long non-coding RNA (923 nucleotides) under Nicotiana benthamiana. RNAcentral describes it as "long non-coding RNA (NBEN_LNC014737)". The record is from RNAcentral. Lineage: Eukaryota; Viridiplantae; Streptophyta; Magnoliopsida; Solanales; Solanaceae.